CAUUCAUGUUUUUAAGUUUGUGAAAGGGACUUCUGGAGGUAGCGAUCAUUCAAUUUAUUGUUUGUGUGUUCCUUUGGUUGUUUCCGAGCAACUUAUAUUUUUUGCGAUAACUUCCUUCUCUUCGUGAGAUUGUAAUUUUUUUGUACUUGCAUAUUCUAUGCUCGAACUUUCUUGUCGUAGGUUGGUGAAGGUUUGACGGACGAGCUUUAGUAAGCAGUGUUUAUCACUGUUGAACUCUCAUGUCUUUACUUCAGGUGACCUUUUAAGUGUGAUUUAUUUUUCGUUUUUCUUUCCAGAUGCUUUGCACGUAGCUUCCCCGUUAAGUCGGGUUGCGGUACGCACACGCCCCAUCUCAGGUGGGGCGGUCACGACCCCCUAAAAGACUUUUGCUUCUCUUGGGUCACAACCUACUAGUAAUAGAGGCUAAAACAGGACAAUUGAGAUUCUCUUCAUAAUUCGGCGAUCUGACCUGCCUGGAGUGUCGAAGGCUGUUGAAAGCGCGCGUUAGAAAACGAUUAAUAUUGAACACUCGAUUUGAUUGGGAUGGCAAUGCGCAAUGCUUGUACAAUUCUAUAUAACACAUCUAGGGAACAAACAAUUUUUGACAUACAACCCGUGGCGGGGGAUGUCUCGGCUUCCACAUCGAUGAAGAACGUAGCAAAAUGCGAUAUGUAAUGCGAUUUGCAGAACUCGUGAGUCAUCGAAUUUUUGAACGCAAGUUGCGCUCGCGGGAAAUCCUGCGAGCACGUCUGUUUGAGUGUCCGUACAAAAACUAAAACACUUGUUUUUUAUUUUUCCUUUUGUCGACUUUGUUGCUUGCAAUGAUUUUGACAGUGUUGAGUGUUUCCGUUCACAGUGCAUUUCACAUGUACAGGAUGGUCACUUUAAGUUGAGGGGUAYUGUUCUUCGUGAACUUUACCAUUGGCAUGGUUUUUUAAACCUUACUACACCGUUCCCCUGCUACUUUUUAAGUAGUGAGGAGCUGCUCACUUGCAUAUGUCUUCGUUUUUCACUUAGAAUUUUUGUCUAGGUACUGAUGUUUUCUUUCUGCUGAGGUGCGAUUGUUGUGAAGUGAUUACUUAAAGCAACUAUUCAACAAYCUCUGAAGGAUUAUAACUUUACUGUUUGAACACAAUUUGGACUUGUGAUUUAAGUUGUCGCUUGUGUUUUACUUCUCCAGUGCUAUUCUUUAGUGCUGUGGCAAGACGCGUAGCAAAACAGUGC
This 1224-nucleotide ribosomal RNA is filed under the name Corallina sp. 2vancouveriensis. RNAcentral describes it as "eukaryotic LSU rRNA". The stretch from base 611 to 763 matches the Rfam family "5.8S ribosomal RNA". The record is from RNAcentral. Lineage: Eukaryota; Rhodophyta; Florideophyceae; Corallinales; Corallinaceae.